UGGGGAAUCUUGCGCAAUGGGCGAAAGCCUGACGCAGCGACGCCGCGUGAGUGAUGAAGGCCUUCGGGUUGUAAAGCUCUGUGGAGAGGGACGAAUAAGUCGAAGCGAACAGCUUCGAUGAUGACGGUACCUCUUUAGCAAGCACCGGCUAACUCUGUGCCAGCAGCCGCGGUAAGACAGAGGGUGCGAACGUUGUUCGGAAUUACUGGGCGUAAAGCGCGUGUAGGCGGCUCUGCAAGUCGGAUGUGAAAGCCCUGGGCUCAACCUAGGAAGUGCACUCGAAACUGCAGAGCUUGAGGUCUGGAGAGGAAGGCGGAAUUCUCGGUGUAGAGGUGAAAUUCGUAGAUAUCGAGAGGAACACCGGUGGCGAAGGCGGCCUUCUGGACAGCAUCUGACGCUGAGACGCGAAAGCGUGGGGAGCAAACAGG
RNAcentral lists this ribosomal RNA (428 nucleotides) under uncultured bacterium. Its description in RNAcentral is "bacterial SSU rRNA". It matches the Rfam family "Bacterial small subunit ribosomal RNA", at positions 355 to 776 of the family's 1533-position model. The record is from RNAcentral.